RNAcentral lists this ribosomal RNA (621 nucleotides) under uncultured fungus. RNAcentral's name for it is "SSU rRNA". It matches the Rfam family "Eukaryotic small subunit ribosomal RNA", at positions 627 to 1254 of the family's 1831-position model. The record is from RNAcentral. Lineage: Eukaryota; Fungi.
CUCGUAGUUGAACCUUGGGCCUGGCUGGCCGGUCCGCCUCACCGCGUGUACUGGUCCGGCCGGGCCUUUCCCUCUGUGGAACCCCAUGCCCUUCACUGGGUGUGGCGGGGAAACAGGACUUUUACUGUGAAAAAAUUAGAGUGCUCCAGGCAGGCCUAUGCUCGAAUACAUUAGCAUGGAAUAAUAGAAUAGGACGUGUGGUUCUAUUUUGUUGGUUUCUAGGACCGCCGUAAUGAUUAAUAGGGACAGUCGGGGGCAUCAGUAUUCAAUUGUCAGAGGUGAAAUUCUUGGAUUUAUUGAAGACUAACUACUGCGAAAGCAUUUGCCAAGGAUGUUUUCAUUAAUCAGGAACGAAAGUUAGGGGAUCGAAGACGAUCAGAUACCGUCGUAGUCUUAACCAUAAACUAUGCCGACUAGGGAUCGGACGGUGUUAUUUUUUGACCCGUUCGGCACCUUACGAGAAAUCAAAGUGCUUGGGCUCCAGGGGGAGUAUGGUCGCAAGGCUGAAACUUAAAGAAAUUGACGGAAGGGCACCACCAGGGGUGGAGCCUGCGGCUUAAUUUGACUCAACACGGGGAAACUCACCAGGUCCAGACACAAUAAGGAUUGACAGAUUGAGAG